RNAcentral lists this ribosomal RNA (279 nucleotides) under uncultured bacterium. Its description in RNAcentral is "partial 16S ribosomal RNA". It matches the Rfam family "Bacterial small subunit ribosomal RNA", at positions 506 to 784 of the family's 1533-position model. The record is from RNAcentral.
UGCCAGCAGCCGCGGUAAUACGGAGGGAGCGAGCGUUAAUCGGAAUUACUGGGCGUAAAGCGCGCGUAGGCGGCUUUGUAAGUCGGAUGUGAAAGCCCUGGGCUUAACCUGGGAACUGCAUUCCAAACUGUCAAGCUAGAGUAUGGUAGAGGGAGGUAGAAUUUCCUGUGUAGCGGUGAAAUGCGUAGAGAUCUGAAGGAACAUCAGUGGCGAAGGCGACUACCUGGACUGAUAUUGACGCUGAGGUGCGAAAGCGUGGGGAGCAAACAGGAUUAGAUA